GGGGGAACCGGUACAGAGUCAAUGUGGAGGCUAUAUACAGGGUAUUACGGUACAGAGUCAAUGUGGAGGCUAUAUACAGGGUAUUACGGUACAGAGUCAAUGUGGAGGCUAUAUACAGGGUAUUACGGUACAGAGUCAAUGUGGAGGCUAUAUACAGGGUGUUACGGUACAGAGUCAAUGUGGAGGCUAUAUACAGGGUGUUACGGUACAGAGUCAAUGUGGAGGCUAUAUACAGGGUAUUACGGUACAGAGUCAAUGUGGAGGCUAUAUACAGGGUAUUACGGUACAGAGUCAAUGUGGAGGCUAUAUACAGGGUAUUACGGUACAGAGUCAAUGUGGAGGCUAUAUACAGGGUAUUACGGUACAGAGUCAAUGUGGAGACGAUAUACAGGUGGGGUACCAGUACAGAGUCAAUGUGGA
Oncorhynchus tshawytscha (Chinook salmon) is the source of this 420-nucleotide long non-coding RNA. Lineage: Eukaryota; Metazoa; Chordata; Actinopteri; Salmoniformes; Salmonidae. The record is from Ensembl.